This is a long non-coding RNA of Carassius auratus (goldfish), 478 nucleotides long. RefSeq lists it as uncharacterized. The record is from RefSeq and is a predicted model, not a curated record. NCBI's taxonomy places the organism in Eukaryota, Metazoa, Chordata, Actinopteri, Cypriniformes, Cyprinidae. The transcript is spliced from 3 exons.
GGGAAGAAAUUCAUGAUUUUGGUAAAAGCUGUAGGACUGGAUUGGCAUUUCUUGGCUCUGGUUAAAUUCUUCUGCCCUCAGUUUGUGAACAUGGGGAAAGCUUUGUCUUCUGAGCCCAGACUAAAUAUGGAGACAGCCUACACAGCAGCAAAUGAGUGGCUGGGGAUUCCUCCACUGCUGGAUCCAGAUGAUCUUGCAGUGCAUUAACCAGAUGAGCAGUCUGUCAUCACUUAUGUAGCCCGGUUUCUUGAAUGUUGUCCAGGCCAUAAUGAGGAAGGGGGGUCUGGACCUUACUAGUUAACCUAAAGAGGUGAAAGAGCUACACGUGCUUCUGUUCCUCUGGAUGAUCGCCAACUGCAUCCUUAUGUGUCCUCACUUGGAUUUUCUCAGUCUAUUAAACUCUAAAUAGCAAUAUAUUACAAAUUUAAUUACAAUAUUGUAUAAAGUACUAUAUUGUGGGUCCACACACAAAACUCCA